Molecule: ribosomal RNA, 253 nt
Filed under: uncultured bacterium
Lineage: Bacteria
Description: partial 16S ribosomal RNA
Rfam family: Bacterial small subunit ribosomal RNA
Source: RNAcentral
UACGUAGGGGGCUAGCGUUGUCCGGAAUCAUUGGGCGUAAAGCGCGUGUAGGCGGUUCGGUAAGUCCGCUGUGAAAGUCGGGGGCUCAACCCUCGAAAGCCGGUGGAUACUGUCGGGCUAGAGUACGGAAGAGGCAAGUGGAAUUCCUGGUGUAGCGGUGGAAUGCGCAGAUAUCAGGAGGAACACCCAUAGCGAAGGCAGCUUGCUGGGACGUUACUGACGCUAAGGCGCGAAAGCGUGGGGAGCGAACAGG